RNAcentral lists this ribosomal RNA (301 nucleotides) under uncultured bacterium. RNAcentral's name for it is "partial 16S ribosomal RNA". It matches the Rfam family "Bacterial small subunit ribosomal RNA", at positions 509 to 807 of the family's 1533-position model. The record is from RNAcentral.
CAGUAGCCGCGGUAAUACGUAGGGUGCAAGCGUUAAUCGGAAUUACUGGGCGUAAAGCGUGCGCAGGCGGUUUUGUAAGACAGAGGUGAAAUCCCCGGGCUCAACCUGGGAACUGCCUUUGUGACUGCAAGGCUGGAGUGCGGCAGAGGGGGAUGGAAUUCCGCGUGUAGCAGUGAAAUGCGUAGAUAUGCGGAGGAACACCGAUGGCGAAGGCAAUCCCCUGGGCCUGCACUGACGCUCAUGCACGAAAGCGUGGGGAGCAAACAGGAUUAGAUACCCCAGUAGUCCCUGUCUCUUAUAC